CACGGACCGACCUUGAGAUUUCAGCCAUCAUGAGACCAGCCAUUUCGGAAUUGCUUUACACUUCAGCUACAGAGCACAUGUCUUACCUUCACCGCUGCCCAGACACGAAAGAGGACGAGUGUUUGUGCUGCGUGAUUGGGUUGGAUGAUGCAGGGUUGUACUAAACCUAAAAGUGGGCGAAAUAUGAGCGCAGCGCAUGAGUCGCAUUGACACGGUGUGUAUAAAGGGAAAUACUGCACAUUGCAGGCGGAAUACGUUGGAAGUAAAGGGAGGAUCACAUACACUAUCCACACACCACCCCUCUUCCGAAAAAAAAAAUCUAAAACUCAAGGAUAAAUAGUUGAGUUGCUGUCGAAUACAUAAUUAAAUACCCACUUUUUACUUGUUAGAUUUCAAAUUGUUUCAUCUUCCAAAAUUUUUAUGUAAUUUUCCAAAUAUUAAAAUGUUCUCUUGGCUUGUAUUUGACGUUCAACAACGUUAGGAUUUGGAAUUUCUACCUGGGGUGGCUGUAGAGCAAUGUCCUGGUGGAUUCUUAGCUUUCUGAAUGUUCUGUAGAGAUAGCUUCUUGGAAGUUGGUGAGGUUCUCACCUUGCGUCUUCUCGAGAAUUGCGUCUGUUUUUGAUUUCUGAUUCCUCGCGUCGAGCAGGUUAUUGUUUGCUGCCGCCAAAGACGAUUUUACACUUGUUCCACCAUCACAAUUAUAUGUUUUUUUGUCAAUGUAGAAAAUCAACAACCAUUACAUUCAAACCGAUUGUACACAAACUCUCUGCACCCAAUGGUAUGAAAACCAACGAUGUACGGAACCCACGUGAGCUUCCGCACCAAUCUACUCAAAGCUUCGUGAGCAUACUAUAUUGGCAGUGUUUAUCUAACAAAGCGGCUUCUUUGAAAUAAUGAAAUAUUCCAUUUACCCCAAGUAAAACAUUUCGAAAUUUCCUCUACCGAAUACAAAGCCGGAGGCACCAUUUGUAUGCAUUAUCGAUACUUGUAUCGUUUGAAUAGUGAUUAUCAUACCACUUCGUUUAGCCGGCAGAGAUAUUAACGUUUAAACCCUUGCACCUCCAACGUAACGCUUUCGUAUUCGGAACUUUGAACUUAGACCACAGUACAGAAGUAAAAGACGUAAUCCUGCGUCAAAAAAGACGUUGGCCGAAUAUUUUCCCAUCGAAUUUCUCCCAACCGCUUCAUACGUUAAUAGAGAUACUUAUUCUGAUUUUGCAUCGACGGAUGUCCUGUGCUUGAAUACUAACCAUCACUAUCGGCAGAUUCGGUUGUCUCAUGGUUCAUCGGUUGUCGAAUUCUCGCCCCCGUGAGCUCUUAUCUGUGACCAGAUUUACACCAUUGUUCUCACAUCGAUUUAUAUUGUUUUGGAUUUCCAAAUUAUCGGUACCAGACUUGACAGCCGAUGGCAUAUCAUCAAAAUCUCCCGGAUGACUCAGAAAAUCGAAAACACAGUUCAGGUAAAAUGCAGAAAAAAUCAUUUAACGAUGAAUCGUUAGCGCUCGUUCAUUGUUUUACUCCAUUUUACAGUAAACCUGCCUGGAAAAAACAGCCUCCUGGCAGGACCACCAAUGUGUAGAUUUCAGCCAUCAUAAGACCAGCCAUUUCGGAAUUGCUUUACACUUCAGCUACAGAGCACAUGUCUUACCUUCACCGCUGCCCAGACACGAAAGAGGACGAGUGUUCGUGCUGCGUGGUAGGGUUGUACUAAACCUGAAAGUAGGCGAAAUAUAAGCGCAGGGCUGUGUCGCAUUGACACGGUGUGCAUAAAGGGAAAUACUGCACAUUGCAGGCGAAAUACGUUGGAUGUAAAGGGAGGAUCAAAUACACUAUCCACACACUACCCUCAAUUGUUUCGUGGCUUUCCGAAACAGUGCUAGAAAAUUUCAUGAAACCAGAUUGUCUGACGAUUUUAUGAAAUUACAACGAGAUUAAGUUUGAGGAAUGUGUAUCCCCAGAAUUAUUAAUGUAGGAAUACGUUUCAGAGUGUAAAAUUACUCAAGAGAAAAUUCUUUAAUCCACAGUCAAUAUAAAAAGAUUUUAUAUAUAAUUUGUUUGUCUGAUUCAAAGUAGAAUCAACUUUAAUGGUGGGACUAUGGUAAAUGUAUCUAUAACCGUAUAUCAUAAAAAUUAGGAAAAAUUCUUCCACUGGUGAUAUGCUUUCCUCAUUUGUUGAGUUAAGAUUCAUUCCAAAGCAUGGAUGAUGAAUUCAGUGAAAAUUUGAAUAUUCAUUUCUCUGCAAUUGACUGUAGUGAUGCUGUAGGUUUUUCGGCAAAAAUAUGAAUGAUCAAAAAGUCAGGUGAAACACUAGCAUUUACGCUCAUGCGAAGAUGUAUUUUACAUAUCCGGUCUUCGCUCGAAGGAAGAUAUACUCUAUUUCCGGUGGGAUUUGGAACGGAUUCUGUAUUAUGAGCUACUACCAAGCAACCUGUUUCUCACAUGUUUGGCUCGCAGCAGUUUUCAAUGAGGGAACAAACAUGUUCUGGGAGGAUAGAAUAUUUAUGCUGUGUGAAAGAUGACGAAAGAUUGUGAAACAGAACUAGAUAUAAAAUUAAAUUAUAAUGCUUCGAUUGAAAAUGAUGUUUUUGUUUUCCCAAAAAUCGACAUUAACUUUUCGGACAACCCAAUAUGAGCUAUCCUGAUUUAUCCUGAUUUUUAUUUUCAUUCUCCCUGAUUUUUUAAAUUAUAGUUGGCAACCCUGGUGAUGACAGUAGGAGAGUUGCCCUUUUAAAACGCAUCUUCUUCGAAGUUUCCGAAGUUUUGAAAAAAGCGCCUGAGAGUACUCCUUCUAAAAUCAUUUUUAUGACAUGAAAGCAUGAAACUCUUUCAUCGUUGAUAAUGAAUGCUGAAUACAUAAUGAAAAGAAUCGAGCAGAUUCAUCAAUGGUUUAUUUAAACAUAGUACAAGAUUUAACCUAUACAAAGAUAGUGCUACUUCUUCCUCAUACAGCGAGGCAAAAAAGUUUAGGAGAAUAUAUUGGACACUGUGUAUAUAUAUAAGAAUGUUACGUUGGUUUGUAUACGCUUCAAAAACUCGACAUUUUCUGCACCGACUGUUUCAAGAAUUUUUUUUGUCUGGAUGAUUUUUAAUUAAAUUGAAGUGUGUGCGAUUUUAGCCACCAAAAGAUCAGCCAUUUUGGAGAUGAUUUAUGCUUUUGGCCGCGGAGCACACGUCUUGCCCUAACCGCUUUAGUGUUGGGAAAACGCGUUAGCGCCAUUAGGCGGCGGUGACACUGGAUGCAGAAAAGAGAUCGUACGAAUUGUAUGCAAUAGUGAAAGUAAACAACCACAUUGAGUUGUAUUGGUGUGGUUACAUUGCAUCCCCCUUGCUUCGUUCGAAUUCGUCAGCCUCUAUCGAACAAAAUUGUUUGUUUCUAUUCGUACAAUCAAAUUUUCAUGCGUACUCCUAUCCAAAGUAACCUUAGCCUUAGUGUUGGGAAAACGCCUGUUUGUUGUUUUUUGGCUUACAAGCAUAACCAUGCAAAUUUCCAAUGAAAUGAUCUGCCCUGUUGAAGGAAAUUAUCGGCAAAAAGAGAGCCUAGGAGAUUUUGCGGAUUGAAACUUUUUUUUUCCAUUUGGAAAACGCAUGCGUCUAUUUAUGCGGACAAUCAAUCGUUUCAAUUGACAUUUGUUCGUAUACGUAACAACCAGGUUGUUUUGUCUGUAAUUUUAGCAUUACCUUUUCCGAUAAUAGUCAAAACGUCUCCGUCGAUAAUUUCAGUUGUUGUCGGAUAAAAUCAAAUAGGUUCGGAAGAAAUUCGAAUGAACUAACUGUGUAGAGGGUGAAUGUGAUCCUCUUAUUACAUCCAAUGUAUUUCGCUUGCAAUGCGUUGUCUUCGCUUUUAAAGGGUGUGUCACAUCACGCAUCACGGAAAAAACGCUGUAGGAAUUUAAUUUUUAGGAAUUAUAUCUUCAGCUUACGCUUAUAAUCAGAUAAGAGUGUAUAGAUCACGUUGGCCAUGCUUCACUGUCAAUUUUUCGUAAAUUUGGAAAAAUGUCGUCGAACGAAAAAGAGCGUCGUGAAUUAAUCCUGUACACUUAUUUUGAGAAUCCGGAGUUGUCACAUCGGGACAUCGGUAAGAUGCAUGGAAUCGUCUAAUCCACGGUCAGCAGAGUACUAAAACGAUACUUCGAGAACCUAACCAUCGACCGGAAGGUGAAGAACGGCAAAAAUGGAUGCUCCGUCAGUGAAAAAGAUCACAAGCGCGUAGUUAAGCAGUUUAG
Toxorhynchites rutilus septentrionalis is the source of this 4223-nucleotide RNA transcript. RefSeq lists it as uncharacterized. The record is from RefSeq and is a predicted model, not a curated record. Lineage: Eukaryota; Metazoa; Arthropoda; Insecta; Diptera; Culicidae. The transcript is spliced from 2 exons.